ACGCCCGACACCUACGGGAGGCAGCAGUUGGGAAUAUUGGACAAUGGAGGAAACUCUGAUCCAGUGACGCCGCGUGAAGGAAGAAGGUCUUCGGAUUGUAAACUUAUUUUGUCAGGGAAGAAAAAAUGACUGUACCUGAAGAAAAAGCACCGGCUAACUACGUGUCAGCAGCCGCGGUAAUCUGAGCGGCUGGCAAGGC
Molecule: ribosomal RNA, 199 nt
Filed under: uncultured bacterium
Lineage: Bacteria
Description: partial 16S ribosomal RNA
Rfam family: Bacterial small subunit ribosomal RNA
Source: RNAcentral